ACACAUGCAAGUCGAACGAGCGAGAGAGAGCUUGCUUUCUCGAGCGAGUGGCGAACGGGUGAGUAACGCGUGAGGAACCUGCCUCAAAGAGGGGGACAACAGUUGGAAACGACUGCUAAUACCGCAUAAGCCCACGGCUCGGCAUCGAGCAGAGGGAAAAGGAGCAAUCCGCUUUGAGAUGGCCUCGCGUCCGAUUAGCUAGUUGGUGAGGUAAUGGCCCACCAAGGCGACGAUCGGUAGCCGGACUGAGAGGUUGAACGGCCACAUUGGGACUGAGACACGGCCCAGACUCCUACGGGAGGCAGCAGUGGGGAAUAUUGCACAAUGGGGGAAACCCUGAUGCAGCGACGCCGCGUGGAGGAAGAAGGUCUUCGGAUUGUAAACUCCUGUUGUUGAGGAAGAUAAUGACGGUACUCAACAAGGAAGUGACGGCUAACUACGUGCCAGCAGCCGCGGUAAAACGUAGGUCACAAGCGUUGUCCGGAAUUACUGGGUGUAAAGGGAGCGCAGGCGGGAGAACAAGUUGGAAGUGAAAUCCAUGGGCUCAACCCAUGAACUGCUUUCAAAACUGUUUUUCUUGAGUAGUGCAGAGGUAGGCGGAAUUCCCGGUGUAGCGGUGGAAUGCGUAGAUAUCGGGAGGAACACCAGUGGCGAAGGCGGCCUACUGGGCACCAACUGACGCUGAGGCUCGAAAGUGUGGGUAGCAAACAGGAUUAGAUACCCUGGUAGUCCACACCGUAAACGAUGAUUACUAGGUGUUGGAGGAUUGACCCCUUCAGUGCCGCAGUUAACACAAUAAGUAAUCCACCUGGGGAGUACGACCGCAAGGUUGAAACUCAAAGGAAUUGACGGGGGCCCGCACAAGCAGUGGAGUAUGUGGUU
This 882-nucleotide ribosomal RNA is filed under the name uncultured bacterium. Its description in RNAcentral is "bacterial SSU rRNA". It matches the Rfam family "Bacterial small subunit ribosomal RNA", at positions 51 to 946 of the family's 1533-position model. The record is from RNAcentral.